Molecule: ribosomal RNA, 193 nt
Filed under: uncultured bacterium
Lineage: Bacteria
Description: partial 16S ribosomal RNA
Rfam family: Bacterial small subunit ribosomal RNA
Source: RNAcentral
AUACCGCAUGAGACUACAGAGCUGCAUGGCUCAGUGGUCAAAGGAGCAAUCCGCUGAAAGAUGGACUCGCGUCCGAUUAGAUAGUAGGCGGGGUAACGGCCCACCUAGUCGACGAUCGGUAGCCGGACUGAGAGGUUGAACGGCCACCAUUGGGACGUGAGACACGGCCCAGACUCCUACGGGAGGCAGCAUG